Molecule: ribosomal RNA, 775 nt
Filed under: uncultured Neocallimastigales
Lineage: Eukaryota; Fungi; Neocallimastigomycota; Neocallimastigomycetes; Neocallimastigales
Description: partial large subunit ribosomal RNA
Rfam family: Eukaryotic large subunit ribosomal RNA
Source: RNAcentral
CGCAUCUGUGCAUGCAGCAUAUCAAUAAGCGGAGGAAAAGAAACUAACAAGGAUUCCCCUAGUAACGGCGAGUGAAGCGGGAAGAGCUCAAAUUUGAAAUCUUAAAGGGUUUCCCUUUACGAAUUGUAGUUUAAAGAAGUGUUUUCUGUUGAGGUUUUGGUAAAAGUUCUUUGGAAUAGGACAUCAUAGAGGGUGAGAAUCCCGUAUUUGACCAUUUACUUUCAGCUUUGUGAUACACUUUCAAAGAGUCGGAUUGUUUGGGAAUGCAGUCCAAAAUGGGUGGUAAAUUUCAUCUAAAGCUAAAUAUUGGCGAGAGACCGAUAGCGAACAAGUACCGUGAGGGAAAGAUGAAAAGAACUUUGAAAAGAGAGUUAAACAGUACGUGAAAUUGUCAAAAGGGAAGCGUUUGACACCAGUGUUGUUUUUCUGAAAAUCAAUUAAAGAACUGUUUAUGCUAAGUUGUUUAGACUUUAUCAGCUAACUGUUUAGUUUUGAGCUUUUCUUUAAUGCACUUUUCAGUUAACAAGUCAACAUCAAUUUCUUUUGCUGUAAAAAAGCUUGAGGAAGGUGGCUUGAGAUUCGUCUUAAGUGUUUAUAGCCUCUUGCCUAUGCAGUCGGAGAGAUUGUGGUCUGCAGCGUAGAUCCUUCGGGGCUAAAUGCAUUUGUGCUAAGUUAUAGCAUUUUAUAGACAACUUGUUGACUAUGAUUUGUCCUGUAGCUUACUCGCUUAUGUUAUUUUACCUACGCUUAGGAUGUUGAUAGUCACAGCGUGUAC